RNAcentral lists this ribosomal RNA (1671 nucleotides) under Oxynotus paradoxus (sailfin roughshark). RNAcentral's name for it is "16S ribosomal RNA". It matches the Rfam family "Bacterial large subunit ribosomal RNA". The record is from RNAcentral. Lineage: Eukaryota; Metazoa; Chordata; Chondrichthyes; Squaliformes; Oxynotidae.
ACAUUAAAACUAGCCUAACCAACUAUAUAAACAAAACCUCAUCAAUUACACUUAUACCACCAUUAUUAAACUUAAAACAUUUUAUACUCUUUAGUAUGGGUGACAGAACAACAAACUUAGCGCAAUAGACUAUGUACCGCAAGGGAAAGCUGAAAAAGAAAUGAAAUAAAUAAUUAAAGUAAUUAAAAGCAGAGACUCAGCCUCGUACCUUUUGCAUCAUGAUUUAGCUAGAUCAACUAGGCAAAGAGAUCUUAAGUCUAUCAUCCCGAAACUAAACGAGCUACUCCGGAGCGGCACAUUAGAGCUAACCCGUCUCUGUGGCAAAAGAGUGGGAAGACUUCCGAGUAGUGGUGAUAAACCUAUCGAGUUUAGUGAUAGCUGGUUGCCCAAGAAAAGAACUUAAAUUCUGCAUCAAUUCUUUUUUACCAAUAAAGAAUUUCUUCUAAGGAAAAAAAUAAGAAUUAAUAGUUAUUUAGAAGAGGUACAGCCCUUCUAAAUUAAGAUACAACUUUUAAAGGUGGGUAAUGAUCACAUUUUUACUAAAGGUUUUUUCCCCAGUGGGCCUAAAAGCAGCCACCUGUAAAGUAAGCGUCACAGCUCCAGCUUUAUAUAAACCUAUAAUUUAGAUACCUUCUCAAAACCCCCUUGCCUGUACUGGGCUAUUUUAUAAAAUUAUAAAAGAACUUAUGCUAAAAUGAGUAAUAAGAGGCCAAACCUCUCCUAACACAAGUGUACAUCAGAAAGAAUUAAAUCACUGAUAAUUAAACGAACCCAAACUGAGGGCAUAAUAAUAAUUUACUAUUAACUAGAAAAACUUAUUUAAUUAUUCGUUAACCCCACACAGGAGUGUCCUAAGGAAAGAUUAAAAGAAAAUAAAGGAACUCGGCAAACAUAAACUCCGCCUGUUUACCAAAAACAUCGCCUCUUGCUUAACUACUAUAAGAGGUCCCGCCUGCCCUGUGAUAAUAUUUAACGGCCGCGGUAUUUUGACCGUGCAAAGGUAGCGUAAUCACUUGUCUUUUAAAUGGAGACCUGUAUGAAAGGCAUCACGAGAGUUUAACUGUCUCUAUUUUCUAAUCAAUGAAAUUGAUCUUCUCGUGCAGAAGCGAGAAUAUUACCAUUAGACGAGAAGACCCUAUGGAGCUUUAAACACUUAAAUUAAUUUUGUAAAAUUAUAAUUCUCUGGAUAAAAUAUCCGUAAAUAUCUAAUUUAAUUGUUUUUGGUUGGGGUGACCUGGGGGAAAAGAAAAUCCCCCCUAUCGAUUGAGUAUUAAAUACUUAAAAAUUAGAACAACAAUUCUAAAUAAUAAAAUAUUUACCGAAAAAUGACCCAGAAUAUUUCUGAUCAAUGAACCAAGUUACCCUAGGGAUAACAGCGCAAUCCUUUCCCAGAGUCCCUAUCGCCGAAAGGGUUUACGACCUCGAUGUUGGAUCAGGACAUCCUAAUGGUGCAACCGCUAUUAAGGGUUCGUUUGUUCAACGAUUAAUAGUCCUACGUGAUCUGAGUUCAGACCGGAGAAAUCCAGGUCAGUUUCUAUCUAUGAAAUUAUUUUUCCUAGUACGAAAGGACCGGAAAAAUGGAGCCAAUACUUUUGGCACGCUCCUUUUUCACCUGCUGAAAUAAACUAAAUUAGGUAAUAAAAAAAUUACCUAGGCCCAAGAUAAGGGUUU